RNAcentral lists this unclassified non-coding RNA (1219 nucleotides) under Yarrowia lipolytica. The record is from RNAcentral. Lineage: Eukaryota; Fungi; Ascomycota; Dipodascomycetes; Dipodascales.
CACCGUCCACGAGCCUGUCGUAUGCGCCGGUCUGCAUUUUUAUGGAUCACUAAUCGGUAAAGGGCGCGAGCGACUCAGGUGGUAGGAGUCCUUGCGCUCACCAGGCGUUGCAGGUUAGUCGGGUUCGUCAGGGUUACUGUAGAUCUCUACAAGCACGAGUACUUGUAGUACAGUACGGAGUGAUACUCAUUCUCGAAGAAUAAAACAGAUAUCGGGCAGAACAAGAGAACCAAACCUCUCAGAAGACAAUGAGUAGUGCUAGACAGACUAACAGAGAACUUUCGAUAGACCAUGUACAUACUGUAGUCAAGAGUAUUCCACUACAAUACCUCUACAAGCAUAAUCCCUACGAGUGCCAUACUCCUGUCCUACUCCUAUCCUCCCCCACACCUACCCACAUCCACACUACCCACAUCCACACUACCCACAUCCACACUACCCACAUCCACACCUACCCACAGCCACACCUUCUCACAGCCACACCUACCAUCCACUCCACAUCAUGGCCAGGUCAAGAAUGCUUCUGAAACGCACCAUCCAACGCUUCCUUUCUUCGGAAAUUCUCUCAGCCUCUUUUGGCUCCUCUUUCUCGUGCACCUCACGUGUACAACCGAAAUAGAAGGCCGAGACGAGCGGUGCUCGCAAUCACAAUCGCAAUCGCAAUCGCAGUUCUUCUAUCUGUCUCGCACCUGCUCUGUGCUCACCUCCAUUGUACCAUGGUCCAAAAGAAGCAGCCAUCUGACCCAAACGUACAACUCCUUUGUCCACAGAAACCAAGAGCCCUCAAGGAACUCAGCUGGCAACCCGAAUGAACUCUCACUCGCCUCUUCCGGAUCUAUUCUGGUGCUGUUCCGGGCCGCGCAUCGACAAACAGCCCGAACCGCGGCAUACGAUAGAGUUGAAGACAUUGUCGGAUGAUGGAAUUUAUCCGGAGUUAAAAGAAUCGUCUGGAAUUGCCGUCGAGUUCCAAGCCUCACACAAAAAUACAAGAGAAACUGUACCUACAAUUCAUGUGGCAAAUCUCUACAAACUGCCCCAAAACCUCCAUGCUUUUUUCCCAUCAAAUUCACUUGACAGCCUUGUUGGGAGUUUGUGGGUUACUUGGCAGCGCAGUUAAUAAAGUUUCAUUUUUAGGUGGCGAUUAGAAAAAGAAAUUAAAGAGCCGAAAUCAAAAAAAUAAAUAAAGAAAAUAAAUAAAUAAAACAUAAAUGAACCUUUU